RNAcentral lists this ribosomal RNA (253 nucleotides) under uncultured bacterium. Its description in RNAcentral is "partial 16S ribosomal RNA". It matches the Rfam family "Bacterial small subunit ribosomal RNA", at positions 524 to 776 of the family's 1533-position model. The record is from RNAcentral.
UACGGAGGGUGCAAGCGUUAUCCGGAUUCACUGGGUUUAAAGGGUGCGUAGGUGGGCAGGUAAGUCAGUGGUGAAAUCUCUGGGCUUAACCCAGAAACUGCCGUUGAUACUAUCUGUCUUGAAUAUAGUGGAGGUGAGCGGAAUAUGUCAUGUAGCGGUGAAAUGCUUAGAUAUGACAUAGAACACCCAUUGCGAAGGCAGCUCGCUACACUAUUAUUGACACUGAGGCACGAAAGCGUGGGGAGCAAACAGG